CAUAGACAACUCACCAUGGAGUCCGUGCCCACCUGUGUUUUCCUCAUCGCUAUUUUAAAAGGUGUCCAGGGUGAGGUGCAGCUGGUGGAGUCUGGAGGAGACCUGGUGAAGUCUGGGGGGUCCCUGAGACUCUCUUGUGUGGCCUCUGGAUUCACCUUCAGUAGCUACUACAUGGACUGGGUCCGCCAGGCUCCAGGGAAGGGGCUGCAGUGGGUCGCAGGGAUUAGCAGUGAUGGAAGUAGCACAUACUACCCACAGGCUGUGAAGGGCCGAUUCACCAUCUCCAGAGACAACGCCAAGAACACGCUCUAUCUGCAGAUGAACAGCCUGAGAGCCGAGGACUCUGCUGUGUAUUACUGUGCGAUGGACACAGUGAGUCGACCUCAGUGUGAGCCCAGACACAAACCUCCCUGUAGAAGGGGAUGGGGAAUCCACUUCCUCAUGAUACUAUCUUCUGACUGGGCUUACUUAAAGGAUGCAAGCAAAAUGCAGGCUUACCAGGAUAUCAAAGCAAAGGAAGAACAGGAACUGAAAGAUAUCCAGUCUAGGUGA
Molecule: non-coding RNA, 552 nt
Organism: Canis lupus familiaris (dog)
Lineage: Eukaryota; Metazoa; Chordata; Mammalia; Carnivora; Canidae
Source: the annotation of a RefSeq genome assembly